UAAAMACGGAUAUCUCGGCUCACGCAUCGAUGAAGAACGUAGCAAAAUGCGAUACUUGGUGUGAAUUGCAGAAUCCCGUGAACCAUCGAGUUUUUGAACGCAAGUUGCGCCCAAAGCCUUUUGGCCGAGGGCACGUCUGCCUGGGCGUCACAC
RNAcentral lists this ribosomal RNA (153 nucleotides) under Senecio balensis. RNAcentral's name for it is "5.8S ribosomal RNA". It matches the Rfam family "5.8S ribosomal RNA". Rfam says of the family: 5.8S ribosomal RNA (5.8S rRNA) is a component of the large subunit of the eukaryotic ribosome. It is transcribed by RNA polymerase I as part of the 45S precursor that also contains 18S and 28S rRNA. Lineage: Eukaryota; Viridiplantae; Streptophyta; Magnoliopsida; Asterales; Asteraceae. The record is from RNAcentral.